RNAcentral lists this non-coding RNA (70 nucleotides) under Prorocentrum micans. Lineage: Eukaryota; Dinophyceae; Prorocentrales; Prorocentraceae. The record is from RNAcentral.
GAUUCGCUACGUAACGGCAUGACAGUUUUUUUUUUUUUUUUUUUUUUUUUUGAAUAUCCAUGAAUCUGAA